CGAGAGGAUAAGAGCCGGCCAAGAGGCUCCCAGUCUCACUGUGCUGUUCAUAGUGGAAAGUGUGGAGCUGCCAGGAGAGAGGAGGGGUUGCAUCAUAUGGUGACAAAAGAAUGAAUCCCACCCAGAGGAAGCAGAGCCAAGAAAUGGAUCCCUGUUGUUUGAGUCCUGGAUCAAAUCGUGCCUGGAUCCCCAGUGAGCCAAUAAAUUUUCCUUAUUGCUUCAGCCUGUUUGAGAUGGUUUCAUUUCACUUGGAACAUUAAACUUUCUAAUUGAUGCACCCUAGUUAGAUUAUAAACUGUGUGGCAGCAGAGACUGUCUCUCUUGAUCACCGUUGUACUCCCUGGCACAUAGUAGGCAUUCAAUAAAUAAGUUUUGAAUGGAUACAUUUCAGCUGGAAGGAACACCUUCUGUAAACUCCCCUUUACUCAUUUGACAACUAAAGAACCUGUUGUCCUAUAAGAAAGUAGUGAUGUGGAUCUAGAAGCCAGGGUUUCAUCCCAACACAAGGCUUUUUCUAACCACCAGGAAGCCGCCUGGUAAAUAUGUUGGGGUCUUCGAGGAGGCCUCAAAAUAGCAGUCGCCUCCCCUUUUCUGCGAGUUUUGAAGUGAAUCAGAAGUAAGAUAGCAGUAAGCUAGAUGAGGACCGAAAAUAACCUUUAUUACUAAUAAGGCUGAUAUUAGAGAAUGUGGCUUACAUUCUCAGGCCAAUGAGCUUCCUGACACUUGGGCUCAAAAUCAUACGUGGACACUCAGCAAUAGGCAGCUGGGCCAGAAUGGGCCUCUCCUUUCCACCCUGCGGGAGGAGUGUUGACUCCCAAGAAGAAAGGAAGAGAAGAUGGUAUGAGGCAUAGUUUCUCCUUCCAAACUCAUCAGUCAUCUUAAACCACUCCUCCUUCCCAGGGAAGAAUGGGGGUGGGGGAGGGUGGUGAGAAGCCAGGAGUGUUAUGCUAAUUGGGCUCCUCUCACAAGAAAGAAAACAGCAAGAGCGGGAAGACAAGUCUUCCUAACACACGUCAAGUGCCAUUUGGUCAGGUCACUUGAUUCUGCUUUGUUUUCAACCAAAGUGGGUUGUUUUUCAAAGUGGUGGAAUUAGUUUGUUGCCUAAAAUAUCAUUCUCCGUGGAAUAACUCACACACUGCAGUCAUAUCAAGCCCCCAAAGGAGUCCGAGAUCCUCCUUUAAAAUCAAGCAAAAUUCAAAGAGAGAAACAAGAAUUCAAGAUCAAAUUACACAAUCAGGGGCUCUAGGUGGCAAUAAUCCUUGUGCUCGCUCACCAUGCCCAUCAAAGGCAUUUCAAGAGCACUGAAAUCUCGCACACUUCCCACGCCGACUGUCAGUUUCUUUCUCGCUGAUCUCAGAGCCACACGGUGCCUAUUAGUCACUGGGAGAACAGAGCCAAAGUUUAACUCCUUGGUGGUUCAGGGGAAAACGACACUUCAAAUUGGAUUCCAGGAAAUCCAGGGAAAUACUAGACAGGAAGUCGGUUACCAUGUUCCUAAUUUCCCCAAUGUCAAGGCUCGGAAUGGGAACAUUUUUCAAAACAAACAGUCAGUCCAGCAACGUGACCGUCUGCUGCAGGCUUUUGGUUUUACUCACCAGGCCACUUUUGCCUUCUUCAGUUUUUGCUUUUUUAAGGUAAACAUUUACCAUCCAGGCUUCAAGAGGCUUUCCCAGAAAACCAUUGUUUGUAAAUCUGAAGUUUGGUGGACAAAUGGAUUACCAGAUCAACUGAACGAUAACUCCCUAAUUUAGUCAACAGUACAUUUAAAAUUCAACGGGUUUUAGUGAAAACUGUGGUAUUGUUUGUUUAAUGUGACUCUGAGCAUAGUGAGAACCAGGAUCUCCUCUGGUCUGGCUGCCGAGACAAAGCUUUGAUCUCAUCCUGCGCAGCUCACUGGUGGACUUUUUGCUGGAGGUCACUAAGUAGGCUUUGCUGGCUGGUCCUGGGAGAGAACUCAAGUUAACAAUGGAAACCCACGACACAGCAGUUGGAGACAAUAUGUUCCCAUCCUCUGUUCUAAAUGCAAAGCUAUUUUCUCAUUAUUACCUGCCCCUAUUUUUACCAUCAGCAGCUCUCCAAUGCCACUUUAGCUAUCGAUAAUUGGCAGUGAGUUUUGCAAUUAACAGCUGCCCAGAAUCAAUUCCAAGGAGCUGCACUGAAACCAGUCUCAAAAAAGCAGAUCUGGGGAUUGCUCAGCUACUUAUCUGUCCUCCAGUCCUUUUCUUACCCCACAUGUCAUCUGCUGGAAGAAACUGAAACUUGAACCAUGUGCCUAAAUGCCCAUUUCUGAGUCUGUGGUGGAUAUUUGAGAAAUUCUCGGAUUGAUUGAUGAUGAUCGAUGUGUACCUAGAGGAAGGAGACGGGCAGUUCCAUGAAGAGUUGCUGUGUAAUUCAUAAUGAAGAGUGAUUUUCCUGCUGACUCCUAACUCCUUUCUAAUUUCAGACCAAAGACCCCAGGGAAAGAUUUGGGUAAGAAACUUGGCCUCAGAGAAAAGCCACUAAAGUCUGUUUGCUCCCCAGAGGAGAAGCAAUAGGGAAUUGCCAAGUGUGAUGGGCACGUCUCAGUCUUUGCUGAUUCAUCUUGCUCAUCAACUGUAUCAACGAGGGGCCCUCUCUGAGGCUGAACUUCCCACCUCACCCAGGCCAAUUGGAGACAUAACUCCAGGAUUUGGUUAGUUUCUCACAGCUUCCGCUCAUGAGUGGCCUGGAGGGAGCCAGUCCUCUCACCACGCCCUCGAAAUGACACUUUCUAAUACCGCAGACUGUGGGGGCUCCAAUCACUUGAGUGCAAGGAGGUACAUGUUUUUAGGGACAUUCUGUCAUCUGGGCAGCCUCAAAUGGUUGUUUUUUCUCUCAUUCCUCAGCUCCUGAUCUGGUGAGGUUGGGGCAAGAAACCCUCCAAGGGUGGCAACCUUGGAAGAAGUGCUUGCUAAUGCACGAGGGAGGGCAAGGGGGACAGCCAGCUGGAGUCCAGAGCUGCUCAAGCUCCUGAAACCCUCAGUGUGCUCAGGCAGAGAUUUAUGGGCCUGCCUUCUCCUCGUGAUUCCACACUGUGCUUCUUUGAAUCAGCCUCAGCAAAGCAGCCAUCAUGGGGCCUGGUGUUUACCGCAGAGACUGAGAUAACACAACCAUGGAGAUGCCACCCCUGUUUGUAUACUGACCCAGUGGUCAAGGAGUCAGCCCCUUGGCCCGAGGGCAACUUUGGUUCUGUUUCCUCUGUGCAAAACGCCAGAAUGCUUCUGCCUCAAAGAGGUCGACUCUGUUGUCAGCUGUGGGAAAAAACAGCCAGAGUUGCUAUUUACACCCUGAACUGCAAGCUGGGUAAAAAUAGCGCUAGCAGCUUGGUCCAGCUUCAAACCCCACUGCAGAAAGAGAUUAUUUUUGGAAGAGAAGAUUUUCCUCCCCACCCACAGAUCUGAAAAUGGUCACCUCCCGGGAGGAGAAGAGGAGAGGCAAUCCCAUGCAAAGGUGAAACAUACCCCCUUCUCCAUCCCCCUGCGCAGGACAGCACACCCAGAGCCAAACCAGCCAUGCCCUCCCCUGACAGCCAGGGCAGGGCCCAGCACAGACCUGCAGGGAACCUAGUUCAAAGCUUAGUGGGAAUUAAUUAACUUUGACUACAGCAAGAGGAGGCUGGAGUCUGAACCCGGAUGUGCCACCAUCCUGUUGACUGUUAUUGCUGUUAGGCUAUUUGUUUGCCUUUCAAAAAAAGGAAGAAAAAGGAAUUGACCACAAGAGCACGUAAAACCCAAAAACAAUGGCUUAGACUAUCUACUUCCUAAGGGCUUGGAAAUUACUCUCCAGCCCUCUCAGACUGGGUCAUAAUAUGGCUAUGAAAUGAUGAACAAACUCCCAUGAGCCUGGUCUGGUCCCACCUCUGUAUUUGCUGCUCCCUGACAGCCGGAGGCUGAAACUUGUCCCUCCUGUAUUUGCUAGAGCUGAGGACCUGGUGUUCGGGGUACGGCAUCUCUUUCAGGUUCAGGAAGUGGCCCAUAUGGCAAUCAGUGGAAGGAAAGUCACUUCUUUGUUUUCUGUGAAAAGGUAUUUCAUAGAUCCAUGUAGGUAAGUAGACUGUGACAAUUGUUUAACUCUGAAGACAUGUACACAUGAGGAUAGUUCUAGAAUAUGUGAAAAACAGCAGAGAAAAAUACCAGAUCAAUGCUGUCUUUAGAUUAUUCUAUAAAUUGAAAGUGCCCAGGCCACCCGGAGCUGAGCCCAAUAGGCACUUAAUGAAUAUUUUUAGGAAGGAUGGGAAAAAAUUCUCCCACACCCUAACUCCACCUCAACCUCCUUCUUCAGGGAUCCAGGAACCAAAACGAACCUUUCACUUUGAGAAAACUCACCUGGGCAUACCUACCCCACUGAGGGAAGGGGAGAAGAUUACACGUCACUCCCCCAACUUCUCAGCACCUCCUGGCAACACACACGCAGAC
Molecule: long non-coding RNA, 4433 nt
Filed under: Equus asinus (donkey)
Lineage: Eukaryota; Metazoa; Chordata; Mammalia; Perissodactyla; Equidae
Description: lncRNA (ENSEASG00005031790.1)
Source: RNAcentral